RNAcentral lists this unclassified non-coding RNA (193 nucleotides) under uncultured Neurospora. Its description in RNAcentral is "sequence contains ITS1". Lineage: Eukaryota; Fungi; Ascomycota; Sordariomycetes; Sordariales; Sordariaceae. The record is from RNAcentral.
CAGAGUUGCAAAACUCCCACAAACCAUCGCGAAUCUUACCCGUACGGUUGCCUCGGCGCUGGCGGUCCGGAAAGGCCUUCGGGCCUCCCGGACCCUCGGGUCUCCCGCUCGCCGGGAGGCUGCCCGCCGGAGUGCCGAAACUACAAACUCUUGAUAUUUACUGUCUCUCUGAGUAAAACUUUUAAAUAAGUCA